GACGAACGCUGGCGGCGUGCCUAAUACAUGCAAGUCGAACGCAGUGGGGACGGGUGAGUAACACGUGGGUAACCUCCCAUCAGAGGGGAUAACACUUGGAAACAGGUGCUAAACCGAUACUGAUGGAUGGAACCGCGGUGCAUCAGCUAGUCGGGGAGGUAACGGCUCACCAAGGCCACGAGGCAUAGCGGGCCUGAGAGGAGGAUCGGACACACUGGGACUGAGACACGGCCCAGACUCCUACGGGAGGCAGCAGUAGGGAAUCUUGGUCAAUGGACGAAAGUCUGACCGAGCAACGCCGCUUGAGUGAAGAAGGUUUUCGGUUCGUAAAGCUCUGUUGUUAGAGAAGCGGUAUCUAACCAGAAAGCCACGGCUAACUACGUGCCAGCAGCCGCGGUAAUAC
This 403-nucleotide ribosomal RNA is filed under the name uncultured bacterium. Its description in RNAcentral is "partial 16S ribosomal RNA". It matches the Rfam family "Bacterial small subunit ribosomal RNA", at positions 28 to 526 of the family's 1533-position model. The record is from RNAcentral.